RNAcentral lists this ribosomal RNA (253 nucleotides) under uncultured bacterium. Its description in RNAcentral is "partial 16S ribosomal RNA". It matches the Rfam family "Bacterial small subunit ribosomal RNA", at positions 524 to 776 of the family's 1533-position model. The record is from RNAcentral.
UACGUAGGGCGCGAGCGUUGUUCGGAUUUAUUGGGCGUAAAGAGCGUGUAGGCGGCCAGGUAGGUCUGCUGUGAAAACUCGAGGCUUAACCUCGAGAUGUCGGCGGAAACCAUCUGGCUAGAGUCCGGAAGAGGAGAGUGGAAUUCCUGGUGUAGCGGUGAAAUGCGCAGAUAUCAGGAAGAACACCAGUGGCGAAGGCGGCUCUCUGGGACGGAACUGACGCUGAGACGCGAAAGCGUGGGGAGCAAACAGG